RNAcentral lists this ribosomal RNA (500 nucleotides) under uncultured bacterium. RNAcentral describes it as "bacterial SSU rRNA". It matches the Rfam family "Bacterial small subunit ribosomal RNA", at positions 24 to 518 of the family's 1533-position model. The record is from RNAcentral.
UCAGGAUGAACGCUAGCGGCAGGCUUAACACAUGCAAGUCGAGGGGCAUCGGGAGUAGCAAUACUGCCGGCGACCGGCGCAAGGGUGCGUAACGCGUGAGCAACAUGCCCGUAUCAGGGGGAUAAUCCAUGGAAACGUGGUCUAAUACCCCAUAGUAAUUAUGUAAGGCAUCUUAUAUAAUUUAAAGCUUUGGUGGAUACGGAUUGGCUCGCGUGACAUUAGCUGGAUGGUAAGGUAACGGCUUACCAUGGCUACGAUGUCUAGGGGUUCUGAGAGGAAGGUCCCCCCACACUGGAACUGAGACACGGUCCAGACUCCUACGGGAGGCAGCAGUGAGGAAUAUUGGACAAUGGAUGGAAAUCUGAUCCAGCCAUGCCGCGUGCAGGAAAGACGGCCCUAUGGGUUGUAAACUGCUUUUGUAUGGGAGCAAUAAGGGCUACGUGUAGUCCGAUGAGAGUACCAUACGAAUAAGCACCGGCUAACUCCGUGCCAGCAGCCGC